Monodelphis domestica (gray short-tailed opossum) is the source of this 1402-nucleotide long non-coding RNA. RefSeq lists it as uncharacterized. The record is from RefSeq and is a predicted model, not a curated record. Lineage: Eukaryota; Metazoa; Chordata; Mammalia; Didelphimorphia; Didelphidae.
GAAAGUCAUUUUACCCCUCCGCGCCAGGCAAAUCUCUAAGACCAUAACUUACAAAUAGACUAUCAAUCCUCCUUUGUGCUGCUCAGUCCCGUGGGACUCGUGACUCUAUUUGCACCGGAGCGGUUCCCAUUUCCUUCUCCAGCUCCCGUCGCAAAGGGGGUGAAGCGCCGAGGCCGGGCUCCCACGCUGCAGGCGCGGCCCUCCAGCUUGCCCGGCCCUCCGCCUGGGUCCCAGGCCUAUUCUGUAUGAAAAUCUGCCCGUUUAGGAAAGGCCGGCGAUCGCGGGGAGGGGCGCGGGAGCACUUGAGGUAAACCCAAGGCUGGGGUCGGGAAUGGCUCUCACGGGCCUCUUUGAGAAUGGUCGGCGCAAGGCAAGAAAAUGAGCCUCGGCCUGGAGCAGCCCCAGUCCCUUCCUCCCGGGGAAGGAGUCGAGUGAGACUGCUCGCUGUCUCCCGCCAGAGGGCGCGCUUUGUCCUCGGGAAGGGUCUACGCCCAGCGACGAGACGCUCUCCGACCCGCCGAGCCCGUUCUGUUUGCAGGAAGUCCCGCAGACGCGUCUUCAGCCGGGGCCGAGGCGCUGCGCUGCGCUGCGCUGCGACGCUUUAGUGCGGGCCACUAAGUCCCUCGGAGGCUCUUUGGUCUCUGAGCACCCCGAGCGCAGGCAGCACCGGGCUCUGCUUUGUCUCGCGUGGCCAGGCACGCCGAGGCCCUUCACACACGCUCCCUGCGGGGCCAGGUGGUUACCAUGGAGAUUUGGCGAGCCAAGGUGUCUGGGCAGACACGAAUCAAUAUUUCCAAUGAUCCUGGGGCUGUUCUUGACCUUGAACAAACUUCCAAGAAGAACUGGAGGGGGCUCUUCUCAAGAGAAGGGGAGUCUGAUGGAGCCGCAGCUGGGUGUCCAUUGUAGACUGCCCAAGCAGAGGGCUAAAUAAUAGCCAGAGGUCUUCGGCAGUUAAUAGACCCGAGUAGAGAACGUAGAGUCCAGUGCAGACCAGACCUGAGAGUAGACCUGAGGAGAUAGUAGAGGAGCCAGCUGAUUGUGGAGGGCCAAUGACAAUAUAUUCAUCUGUUCCCUAGCACCUUGCUUUCUCCCCCUCUCUCUGGGGCACAGACACGGCCCAACUUACUGGUCCAAACUCAUUCCUGUUGCCUCUCCCAGUGCCAAAGGGUAAGGGAAGAUGAGGACCCAUUUUGUGUCUUCCUGCCUGCAACUCCAGUGCAGCCAGACAUGGCCAAUGUGGGAAUUUGCUUUGCUCAAUCAUCCGUGUUUGUCACAGAGGUCUCUCCCAAUUAUGGGAUAGGGCAGGUGAGAGGAGGAAAGGUUGGGUCUUCAUUUGAAUUAAAGGGAAAACAUUUUUCAAAAAGAAAAAAUUCUCUAUCAGAUUAAAGAUCUUUUUCCUAAA